GGAAAAGAAACAAACGCAAGAAACUGAAAUACCAAGAAUGGAAAAGCGUUGCCAGAAUUAUCAGAGGACUAGAUUCAGAGACCUAGGAGAUCCUUGUGUGUCCUGGCUCCCGCAGGGCAUGCCUCUGUGUCCUCCCAUCUGCGCUACAGGAGACUGGAAGCAUAAGUAUUGCCCCGGAUAUCGAUGGCUGGGGCAUGGACAGCUUUCAUGGCCUUCUUGCCGAGCCCCUUUGGCUGCCAAUUUUGAAUCACGUGCGUUCAGUUGGAUGAGCAGUUGCUUGGCUCCCCAACGUAAUUUUGUUAACGCGUACUUCCCUUCAUUUACCAAAUCAGGCAAAGAAAUUCAAUGCAAAAAGACUUUUUCCAAACGUUUUAUUUGAGACUUUAUAAAGUCCCAAAUCAAGAGAUGCAAAGCCGUGGCUCUCACAGCCCUCUUAACUCCACUGUAUUGCCCGGAUAACACUGCAGAUUGGAAAGAAGAUACUCUGGGUAACAUAACUCUCGGUUUCUGAGCUUAACAACUGCUAAACUUCACUACAGCCUGGAAUAUUGACAUGCACCUUUCCUUUUUUGCUCCAGAAGCAAACUUUUUUUAAAGGAGAAGUUAAGAGAAGGUGUGAUACUGUCUCAUGCAAAUUACCAAGAGAAAAACAAGGUCUUACUUGUACCUUUAAAUCAACACUGAAUUCUGCUACAGACCAUAGCAGAAUCUGUAUCGCCAUAAUGAACUUCCUGCCAACAGCUAAGGAGGAAACGUGCUAUUUACUGAGCAUCAGUACUCCUCAGAGCGUAACACUACAACCUCGAGGCUCGCUCACAGACGCGCAGCAAUACAGGGCAUACCUAAUCUGUGUUUCAACUCUUACGAGUUUCUGAGUGCUGAGACGUAAGGACUAACCAUAACUGUGGUGCUGGGAUAGGUUUACAUCAUCUACUGUACUCUUGCUUUGCUUAGCAAACUGGAAAAAAAAAAAAAACAGAGCUAUCAAUAUGUACACAGAUCUGUAUGAACGAUUAAAGCCUUGUCCCAGCAAAUGUUUAUGUUGAAUACUGAGCAGAUGAUAUACCCCUUUAAAGAUAACUGCUUUCAUUUUUAAAUACAUAUGUUGCAGGGUCUGAGCCUAUCAGACAAUACAGAAACAGAGCAAUAUGUCUAGAACUAGUUUUUUCUAUAAAGAGGUGCAGUUCUUAUAUUGGCUGCAUUUAAGUAAAAGCUAUAAUGUUGUUGUUAUGAUGUGAUAUGUAGUUUUGGUACAAGAAUGAAAUAUUCUGUAUUUCAUCAUUGCAACUUUUUUUAAACAAUGUAACCUUGUAAACUGUAAAUGUAUUUAAAUGCAUAUAUUUUGCAAGAAAACUACCAAAGUUGGCUUGUUAUGUGGUUUGGUGCCUUUAUUCAUUUCAUGGCAAUUUUAUUUUAAAUGAUAACGUCCAACUGUCACCCAGUUCAUAGCGAUAGACACACUAUACCCUCAUUCAGCCCUCUUGCGUGAAAGAAAAGAGUCAAUAGAUCUUAGCCCAAAUCCUGCAGAUUUCAUUCUCUUUUGGUAAAUCUCAUUAAUUUAGUGGGAAUUUGUCUCAGUUAAAGAAUCAAAAAAUAACCCCAUACUGAUGGACACACCUCUGUGUAACUUCACUCUAGCACUAUUUUUCAUUAAAUAAAGUUAUGAAAAGGUUGCUGGGGUAAAGCCCA
Long non-coding RNA from Struthio camelus australis, 1689 nucleotides. The record is from Ensembl. Lineage: Eukaryota; Metazoa; Chordata; Aves; Struthioniformes; Struthionidae.